GACAGACCCAUCUGUAUGGACUAGAAUUGCUGUGUUCGUCUGUUUUGCCGUUUGUAUGAAUUUCCCCAUUCGUAUGCUUUGUUUAAGGGAAUGUCUUUUUUUUGUCGAACGGAACUACCGAACGGACGGCCACCCAGAAGAGAAGUGUGCUGCUGGUUAACCUAUUGAUCCCAAUUAGAACGUUGCGGUUAACCACAGACACUUCUCAAU
Molecule: non-coding RNA, 210 nt
Organism: Pelobates cultripes (western spadefoot toad)
Lineage: Eukaryota; Metazoa; Chordata; Amphibia; Anura; Pelobatidae
Source: the annotation of a GenBank genome assembly